This 1045-nucleotide long non-coding RNA is filed under the name Numida meleagris (helmeted guineafowl). RNAcentral describes it as "lncRNA (ENSNMEG00000000240.1)". The record is from RNAcentral. Lineage: Eukaryota; Metazoa; Chordata; Aves; Galliformes; Numididae.
CCUGAAGAGAAGUAAUCAAGAAUGUUUCAUUUCCUUUUGGAGGAAUACCUGUCUAAAAUAUAUUUAAUCCAAGCUUUUGUGAAGACGUUAUUGCUUUGGGAGAUGCAUACCUGGCCCUAUGAGGAGCAUCCAGCAAGGACCACUGACCACAGGGAAGAGCUCAGGAGCAAAGACAGCAUCAGACUCUUCCACAGGGGAUUAUGUCCCAGCCACUCCUUGACCUGCGGAGCAUUUGCACAGUCUGGGUUUACUCUCCCUCUCAAGCUGCAGAGAAGUUUUGCUGCUGUGCAUCAAACUGAGCAUAAAUUCAGCCUGCUAACCAUGAUCUGAAUCUAUAAUGAAUGACUUCUGAAUCUGUUCAGAAAUACUCUAUGAAUAUUUUAGUUAGAAAUAGGCAAUAACUCAGUCUGUGAAUGCAGUUUACGUAAGGUUGUAUGUUAUAUAGCAAUGAACAGGCAGAGUAUAGUAAAUCAACACAGCACUUCUUUCUAUUUUUGAGACAAUUCCUGAAUUUUCUUUGUAAUUUCUGACCACGUGAAAUGAGGCCAGCACCAGAAAUAUUAGUUAAGAGAGGUAGAAAAAACAAAUGGAAAACCUAUCCUCAUCUUAACUCUGUCCUCAACGAACAAGGAAUUUAGAAAAAUAACAACCAACAUUUCUUUAAGAACAUCACAAAGAUCUUAAGAACAAGAUUUCAGAGAUGAAAACUAUUCUGAAACUCUCCUUGGGAAUUACAGCUGUGCUGUGUGUCCGAAAAAGAGUGUGCUUCGGGGCACAAAGCUGCUGCUCUCCUGCACUCUCUCACAUGCUCAGUGUGACACAGACAGCUCAAACCCAUCUGCAAAAAGACAGCUAAAAUAAUUUAAAGUACAACUAUCAUUUCAGGCCUUCAUAAGCACAUCUCUGGUCCUGGAAAAAUGAAGCAUCUCUCACUGGUUUUCACUCUGCUCCCACUCAUUUUGUUGGGGCCAGGGGAUGGUCAGAACUUCUGAACAUGAGCUCUUGUUCAAGCUCUGAAGUUUGCAAAUUUGCAGGAAAGUUUUAU